This is a long non-coding RNA of Ostrea edulis (European flat oyster), 220 nucleotides long. RefSeq lists it as uncharacterized. The transcript has 2 exons. Lineage: Eukaryota; Metazoa; Mollusca; Bivalvia; Ostreida; Ostreidae. The record is from RefSeq and is a predicted model, not a curated record.
GCGACACUGUGAAAAAUUGUUGUGUAUACAAAUAUCACAAUGUCUGCAAUGCAUGGGUGGCACGGAGAUUACCCCAGUGAUAACAAUUUCGGUCCCACAUUAUUUGCCAACAAAGACAUUCGAUCUGAGGAAGAUUUAAAAAGAGAAGAGAGACUAUCAGAACAUUAAUCAACAAAGUAAAAAGGAGUGUGCGUGUGAGGGGUGUCCAUGCAGUGUCUGU